Molecule: ribosomal RNA, 200 nt
Filed under: uncultured bacterium
Lineage: Bacteria
Description: partial 16S ribosomal RNA
Rfam family: Bacterial small subunit ribosomal RNA
Source: RNAcentral
AGCGAACGCUGGCGGCAGGCCUAACACAUGCAAGUCGAACGCACCUUCGGGUGAGUGGCGGACGGGUGAGUAACACGUGGGAACGUACCUUUUGGUUCGGAAUAACGCAGGGAAACUUGUGCUAAUACCGAAUGUGCCCUUCGGGGGGAAAGAUUUAUCGCCAUUAGAGCGGCCCGCGUUAGAUUAGCUAGUUGGUUGGA